This 460-nucleotide ribosomal RNA is filed under the name uncultured bacterium. RNAcentral's name for it is "bacterial SSU rRNA". It matches the Rfam family "Bacterial small subunit ribosomal RNA", at positions 340 to 786 of the family's 1533-position model. The record is from RNAcentral.
UACGGAAGGCAGCAGUGGGGAAUAUUGCACAAUGGGCGAAAGCCUGAUGCAGCUAUGCCGCGUGUAUGAAGAAGGCCUUAGGGUUGUAAAGUACUUUCAUCGGGGAGGAAAAAACAAAACUAAUAAUUUUAUUUCUUGACGUUACCCGAAAAAGAAGCACCGGCUAACUCCGUGCCAGCAGCCGCGGUAAUACGGAGGGUGCUAGCGUUAAUCAGAAUUACUGGGCGUAAAGAGCACGUAGGUGGUUUUUUUAAAGUCAGAUGUGAAAUCCCUGGGCUUUAACCUAGGAACUGCAUUUUGAAACUGAAAUACUAGAGUAUCGUAGAGGGAGGUAGAAUUCUAGGUGUAGCGGUGAAAUGCGUAGAUAUCUGGAGGAAUACCUGUGGCGAAAGCGGCCUCCUAAACGAAUACUGACACUGAGGGUGCGAAAGCGUGGGGAGCGAAACAGGGAUUAGAUACC